CCCAGUUUCUGAAGGUCCAGUUUGGUUCCAUGUGUUUAGACUUCAGAGGUGAAGAAACUGAGGCCCUGAGAAAUACGUAAUUUAUCUGCACCAGAGUCUGUGUUCUCCACUACUUCACUCUCGCACUGCCAGGAUUAUACUGUGGUUUGAUGUAGCUUGUAUAGCCUGUAGCUUGAAACAGGCUAUGAUGGAGAUGUUUAUACCACAGAAAUCAGCAAGUGCUACAAGUCAGGGCUUGUUGUUGUUUUUUAUUGUUGAAAUUUAACAAUGUGGUGGAGAUGCAGAUGCACAGGAGACCCCAGGAAAGAGAUGGAGGAGUUGCUUCCCAGACAGUCUUGGAUCUCAACUUCCAGAUGGAUCCCAUUCCCACUCUUGUGUAUCUUUUAAGGUGGUCAGGGGAGCUUUCUCUGAUAGGAUGACAACUGAACAGAGAACUUAACGAACUGAGGAAUGUGCCACGUGAAGUGUCUACCAAGGAUCAAGGCACUCAGGUGGGAACAUGCCUUGAACAGAUGCUUGAG
Long non-coding RNA from Nycticebus coucang (slow loris), 521 nucleotides. RefSeq lists it as uncharacterized. The record is from RefSeq and is a predicted model, not a curated record. NCBI's taxonomy places the organism in Eukaryota, Metazoa, Chordata, Mammalia, Primates, Lorisidae. The transcript has 3 exons.